Molecule: ribosomal RNA, 253 nt
Filed under: uncultured bacterium
Lineage: Bacteria
Description: partial 16S ribosomal RNA
Rfam family: Bacterial small subunit ribosomal RNA
Source: RNAcentral
UACGAAGGGGGCUAGCGUUGCUCGGAAUCACUGGGCGUAAAGCGCACGUAGGCGGAUUGCUAAGUCAGGGGUGAAAUCCUGGAGCUCAACUCCAGAACUGCCUUUGAUACUGGCGAUCUUGAGUCCGGGAGAGGUGAGUGGAACUGCGAGUGUAGAGGUGAAAUUCGUAGAUAUUCGCAAGAACACCAGUGGCGAAGGCGGGUCUCUGGACAGUUCCUGACACUGAGGCACGAAGGCCAGGGGAGCAAACGGG